RNAcentral lists this ribosomal RNA (1441 nucleotides) under uncultured organism. RNAcentral describes it as "16S ribosomal RNA". It matches the Rfam family "Bacterial small subunit ribosomal RNA". The record is from RNAcentral.
GAUGAACGCUAGCUACAGGCUUAACACAUGCAAGUCGAGGGGCAGCAUGGUCUUAGCUUGCUAAGGCCGAUGGCGACCGGCGCACGGGUGAGUAACACGUAUCCAACCUGCCGUCUACUCUUGGACAGCCUUCUGAAAGGAAGAUUAAUACAAGAUGGCAUCAUGAGUCCACAUGUUCACAUGAUUAAAGGUAUUCCGGUAGACGAUGGGGAUGCGUUCCAUUAGAUAGUAGGCGGGGUAACGGCCCACCUAGUCUUCGAUGGAUAGGGGUUCUGAGAGGAAGGUCCCCCACAUUGGAACUGAGACACGGUCCAAACUCCUACGGGAGGCAGCAGUGAGGAAUAUUGGUCAAUGGGCGAGAGCCUGAACCAGCCAAGUAGCGUGAAGGAUGACUGCCCUAUGGGUUGUAAACUUCUUUUAUAAAGGAAUAAAGUCGGGUAUGCAUACCCGUUUGCAUGUACUUUAUGAAUAAGGAUCGGCUAACUCCGUGCCAGCAGCCGCGGUAAUACGGAGGAUCCGAGCGUUAUCCGGAUUUAUUGGGUUUAAAGGGAGCGUAGAUGGAUGUUUAAGUCAGUUGUGAAAGUUUGCGGCCCAACCGUAAAAUUGCAGUUGAUACUGGAUAUCUUGAGUGCAGUUGAGGCAGGCGGAAUUCGUGGUGUAGCGGUGAAAUGCUUAGAUAUCACGAAGAACUCCGAUUGCGAAGGCAGCCUGCUAAGCUGCAACUGACAUUGAGGCUCGAAAGUGUGGGUAUCAAACAGGAUUAGAUACCCUGGUAGUCCACACGGUAAACGAUGAAUACUCGCUGUUUGCGAUAUACGGCAAGCGGCCAAGCGAAAGCGUUAAGUAUUCCACCUGGGGAGUACGCCGGCAACGGUGAAACUCAAAGGAAUUGACGGGGGCCCGCACAAGCGGAGGAACAUGUGGUUUAAUUCGAUGAUACGCGAGGAACCUUACCCGGGCUUAAAUUGCAGAUGAAUUACGGUGAAAGCCGUAAGCCGCAAGGCAUCUGUGAAGGUGCUGCAUGGUUGUCGUCAGCCCAUGCCGUGAGGUGUCGGCUUAAGUGCCAUAACGAGCGCAACCCUUGUUGUCAGUUACUAACAGGUUCCGCUGAGGACUCUGACAAGACUGCCAUCGUAAGAUGUGAGGAAGGUGGGGAUGACGUCAAAUCAGCACGGCCCUUACGUCCGGGGCUACACACGUGUUACAAUGGGGGGUACAGAGGGCCGCUACCACGCGAGUGGAUGCCAAUCCCCAAAACCUCUCUCAGUUCGGACUGGAGUCUGCAACCCGACUCCACGAAGCUGGAUUCGCUAGUAAUCGCGCAUCAGCCACGGCGCGGUGAAUACGUUCCCGGGCCUUGUACACACCGCCCGUCAAGCCAUGGGAGCCGGGGGUACCUGAAGUGCGUAACCGCGAGGAGCGCCCUAGGGUAAAACUGGUG